UACGUAGGGAGCAAGCGUUGUCCGGAAUCAUUGGGCGUAAAGCGCGCGUAGGCGGCCAGAUAAGUCCGGUGUGAAAGUCACAGGCUCAACCUGUGAAUGCCGCUGGAAACUGUCUGGCUAGAGUCCGGAAGGGGCGAGUGGAAUUCCUGGUGUAGCGGUGAAAUGCGCAGAUAUCAGGAGGAACACCAAUGGCGAAGGCAGCUCGCUGGAACGGUACUGACGCUGAGGCGCGAAAGCGUGGGGAGCGAACAGG
RNAcentral lists this ribosomal RNA (253 nucleotides) under uncultured bacterium. RNAcentral's name for it is "partial 16S ribosomal RNA". It matches the Rfam family "Bacterial small subunit ribosomal RNA", at positions 524 to 776 of the family's 1533-position model. The record is from RNAcentral.